Molecule: ribosomal RNA, 234 nt
Filed under: uncultured bacterium
Lineage: Bacteria
Description: partial 16S ribosomal RNA
Rfam family: Bacterial small subunit ribosomal RNA
Source: RNAcentral
UGAGUAACCUGCCCUUAACUCUGGGAUAAGCCUGGGAAACUGGGUCUAAUACCGGAUAUGACUCCUCAUCGCAUGGUGGGGGGUGGAAAGCUUUAUUGUGGUUUUGGAUGGACUCGCGGCCUAUCAGCUUGUUGGUGGGGUAAUGGCUCACCAAGGCGACGACAGGUAGCCGGCCUGAGAGGGUGACCGGCCACAUUGGAACUGAGACACGGUCCAGACUCCGUACGGGAGCAG